Molecule: ribosomal RNA, 292 nt
Filed under: uncultured bacterium
Lineage: Bacteria
Description: partial 16S ribosomal RNA
Rfam family: Bacterial small subunit ribosomal RNA
Source: RNAcentral
GUUACAGCCGCCGCGGUAAUACGUAGGGGGCAAGCGUUGUCCGGAAUCAUUGGGCGUAAAGAGCGCGUAGGCGGCCCGGUAAGUCCGCUGUAAAAGUCCAGGGCUCAACCCUGGAAAGCCGGUGGAUACUGUCGGGCUCGAGUCCGGAAGAGGCGAGUGGAAUUCCUGGUGUAGCGGUGGAAUGCGCAGAUAUCAGGAGGAACACCGAUAGCGAAGGCAGCUCGCUGGGACGGUACUGACGCUGAGGCGCGAAAGCGUGGGGAGCAAACAGGAUUAGAAACCCUCGUAGUCC